GUAUCCCGUAGUACUUAUGUCAGAAAUUAAGCUCAAAAGGGAAAUACACAUCCAAGAGAGGAGGAGAAUAUAAGGUAACAAAUGAACGAAUUUGUAUAUUCAUAAUAAUCUCAUAAUAAGAUUACAUCGCAAUGUCGUGUAACCUUUCCUCGAUCUGUAAUACGAGCAGUAAAGAAUCUCAGAAAUGAUGAAACUGUAUAGACAACAGCAAGCAGAGACAGAGUCGUGGGGUCCAUCUAGAACAAGAUGGCGGCGGCCACCGCUCCGGCGACGAGCGCCGAAGCUGGCGGCGGAGGUGUACACGGCGGAGCUUGC
RNAcentral lists this long non-coding RNA (315 nucleotides) under Hordeum vulgare. RNAcentral's name for it is "long non-coding RNA (HVUL_LNC021466)". The record is from RNAcentral. Lineage: Eukaryota; Viridiplantae; Streptophyta; Magnoliopsida; Poales; Poaceae.